RNAcentral lists this ribosomal RNA (520 nucleotides) under uncultured Glomus. RNAcentral's name for it is "SSU rRNA". It matches the Rfam family "Eukaryotic small subunit ribosomal RNA", at positions 569 to 1090 of the family's 1831-position model. The record is from RNAcentral. Lineage: Eukaryota; Fungi; Glomeromycota; Glomeromycetes; Glomerales; Glomeraceae.
AGCAGCCGCGGUAAUUCCAGCUCCAAUAGCGUAUAUUAAAGUUGUUGCAGUUAAAAAGCUCGUAGUUGAAUUUCGAGACCGGCUUACUGGUCGUGCUAUUGUACGUACUGGUAUAAUCGGUUUCUCCUUUCUGACGAACUAUAAUGCCAUUAAUUUGGUGUUAUAGGGAAUCAGGACUGUUACUUUGAAAAAAUUUAGAGUGUUUAAAGCAGGCUCACGCUUGAAUACAUUAGCAUGGAAUAACGGAAUAGGACGUUUGAUUCUAUUUUGUUGGUUUCUAGGAUCGACGUAAUGAUUAAUAGGGAUAGUUGGGGGCAUUAGUAUUCAACUGUCAGAGGUGAAAUUCUUGGAUUUAUUGAAGACUAACUACUGCGAAAGCAUUUGCCAAGGAUGUUUUCAUUAAUCAAGAACGAAAGUUAGGGGAUCGAAGACGAUCAGAUACCGUCGUAGUCUUAACCAUAAACUAUGCCGACUAGGGAUCGGAUGAUGUUAAUUUUUUAAUGACUCAUUCGGCGCCUUA